CCUACGGGAGGCAGCAGUGGGGAAUAUUGCACAAUGGGGGGAACCCUGAUGCAGCGACGCCGCGUGAGUGAAGAAGUAUUUCGGUAUGUAAAGCUCUAUCAGCAGGGAAGAAAAUGACGGUACCUGACUAAGAAGCACCGGCUAACUACGUGCCAGCAGCCGCGGGAAUACGUAGGGGGCAAGGGUUAUCCGGAUUUACUUGGUGUAAAGGGAGCGUAGACGGCAGAGCAAGUCUGAAGGGAAAGCCCGGGGCCCAACUGCGGGACUGCUUUGGAAACUGCCCGGCUAGAGUGCUCGAGGGGUAAGCGGAAUUCGUGGUGUAGCGGUGAAAUGCGUAGAUAUUAGGAGGAACACCAGUGGCGAAGGCGGCUUACUGGACAGUAACUGACGUUGAGGCUCGAAAGCGUGGGGAGCAAACAGGAUUAGAUACCCCAGUAGUC
RNAcentral lists this ribosomal RNA (440 nucleotides) under uncultured bacterium. Its description in RNAcentral is "partial 16S ribosomal RNA". It matches the Rfam family "Bacterial small subunit ribosomal RNA", at positions 338 to 795 of the family's 1533-position model. The record is from RNAcentral.